CGGAGCAGCGUGUCGGGAAUCCGGUUGCAGCUGGGGCAGAGGUCUGUGGGCAGCCGGAAGCUGCUGUAGGUGCAUCUUCCGAGGCAGCCCAGCAUGAUGGAGACUCUGGGCCCAGGGAUCUGUCCAGCUGGGGCCAAGGACCUGGUGUGCCCCUCUCGGGAUUCAUGGCAAGUCUCAGCAGUCCUCUGCCUCCCUGCGGGCGUCCCCGUUCACUGAUUGCUGAAUUGGUUUCAGGGGCUCAUUUUUAUGGACUCGAUGAAAAAGACCACUUUUGGAGCCACGCUCAGCAGGCCUGUAAUCCCAGCCACUUAGGAGGUUGAGGCAGGAGGAUCACAGGUUCAAGACCAACCUCAGCAACUUAAGGAGGCCCUAAGCAAAUUAGACCUGGCAGAAACAAAAAGGGCCAGGGGUGUGGCUCAGUGGUAAAGCACUUCUGUGUUCAGUCCUCCCCACCCAACUGAAAAAUAAUUAAAAAAAGGGGACCACUGUUAUGCUGUACAUGUUCAUCUUAACUGUUGUGUUAGGCUGAUUUUUGCAUAUUAGUGGUUACUCAGAGGUCAUGCAGUGUCUUUUGUUCUGAUAUUAUUUCCUUGGGUUUUUCUUGUAGAUGGAACACAUCCCGACCUGGGCUUGCUGCUCAUUUAAUGAGUAACUGAGUCUUUUUCACAUUUCGCAGAGGUACCCAUGUCCAGGAAGGGAAAGCCCAAGUCUGUUGCUGAUCAAAACCUGCUGUAUGCACAUCUUCCAUGUCCUUCCAGAGCAAAGAGUACUCUUUUGUCUUUCUCAUAGAUUAUUGCCUGCUAUUCUUUUCCUGAGGUGUCUUGUCUUCUUUGGGCCACAGGAAAAUGUUGAACUGGCUAGUGUGACGUGUUAAAUAAUCAUGUUUACUAACAUUUUUGUUUCGAAUAAGUAUACUGUGGAAAACUGAUUCAUGAGACAUACCUUAAUGUAAUUGCAUACUUUUAGCACGUUAAGUACAAUAUUUAGUAUAAUUGUAAAAAAGUAUGAUUUCUGAAUAAAUGUUAACUGUUAUACAUGUGAAAUAUCAAA
Molecule: long non-coding RNA, 1050 nt
Filed under: Marmota monax (woodchuck)
Lineage: Eukaryota; Metazoa; Chordata; Mammalia; Rodentia; Sciuridae
Source: RNAcentral